This 344-nucleotide ribosomal RNA is filed under the name uncultured fungus. Its description in RNAcentral is "SSU rRNA". It matches the Rfam family "Eukaryotic small subunit ribosomal RNA", at positions 292 to 636 of the family's 1831-position model. Lineage: Eukaryota; Fungi. The record is from RNAcentral.
GAAUCAUUCAAAUUUCUGCCCUAUCAACUUUCGAUGGUAGGAUAAAGGCCUACCAUGGUGGUAACGGGUAACGGGGUGUUAGGGCACGACACCGGAGAGGGAGCCUGAGAAACGGCUACCACAUCCAAGGAUGGCAGCAGGCGCGCAAAUUACCCAAUCCCGACCGGGGAGGUAGUGACAAUAAAUAACAAUACGGGGUUCUUUCGGAUUUCGUAAUUGGAAUGAGUACAAUUUAAAUCUCUUAACGAGGAACAAUUGGAGGGCAAGUCUGGUGCCAGCAGCCGCGGUAAUUCCAGCUCCAAUAGCGUAUAUUAAAGUUGUUGCAGUUAAAAAGCUCGUAGUUG